UCAGUUCGGAGGUCCACAGCUGCAG
This 25-nucleotide non-coding RNA is filed under the name Mus musculus (house mouse). Lineage: Eukaryota; Metazoa; Chordata; Mammalia; Rodentia; Muridae. The record is from RNAcentral.